UACGUAGGGACCAAGCGUUGUUCGGAUUUACUGGGCGUAAAGGGCGCGUAGGCGGCAAUUCAAGUCAUCUGUGAAAUCUCCGGGCUUAACUCGGAACGGUCAGAUGAUACUGCUUUGCUAGAGUGCGGAAGGGGCAAUCGGAAUUCUUGGUGUAGCGGUGAAAUGCGUAGAUAUCAAGAGGAACACCUGAGGUGAAGACGGGUUGCUGGGCCGACACUGACGCUGAUGCGCGAAAGCGUGGGGAGCAAACAGG
Molecule: ribosomal RNA, 253 nt
Filed under: uncultured bacterium
Lineage: Bacteria
Description: partial 16S ribosomal RNA
Rfam family: Bacterial small subunit ribosomal RNA
Source: RNAcentral